Molecule: ribosomal RNA, 254 nt
Filed under: uncultured bacterium
Lineage: Bacteria
Description: partial 16S ribosomal RNA
Rfam family: Bacterial small subunit ribosomal RNA
Source: RNAcentral
CACGUAGGGGCCAAGCGUUGUCCGGAUUUAUUGGGCGUAAAGAGCUCGUAGGCGGUUGGGUAAGUCGGGUGUGAAAACUCUGGGCUCAACUCAGAGACGCCACCCGAUACUGCUCUGACUUGAGUCCGGUAGGGGAGUGGGGAAUUCCUGGUGUAGCGGUGAAAUGCGUAGAUAUCAGGAAGAACACCGGUGGCGAAGGCGGCUCUCUGGGCCUUACCUGACGCUGAGGAGCGAAAGCGUGGGUAGCGAACAGG